UAACAAAUAAUCGACGCAAGAACAACACGUAAAAAGUAAUUUUAACGUUUAAUUCUGAUGUCGAGCCAAGAUUGGCGCCUCAUCUUAUUGAGACGCAAAGCUGAUUUAAACUGAAGAGUUUGAUCAUGGCUCAGAUUGAACGCUGGCGGUAUGCUUAACACAUGCAAGUCGAACGGUAGCAGGCCUUCGGGCGCUGACGAGUGGCGGACGGGUGAGUAACGCGUAGGAAUCUGCCUCAUAGUGGGGGACGAACGUGGGGAAACUCACGCUAAUACCGCAUACGCCUACGGGGAAAGACGGGGGAGUCUUCGGACCUCGCGCUAUGAGAUGAGCCUGCGUUAGAUUAGCUAGUUGGUAGGGUAAAGGACCGUACCAAGGCGACGAUCUAUAGCUGGUCUGAGAGGACGAUCAGCCACACUGGGACUGAGACACGGCCAGACUCCUACGGGAGGCAGC
Molecule: ribosomal RNA, 456 nt
Filed under: uncultured bacterium
Lineage: Bacteria
Description: bacterial SSU rRNA
Rfam family: Bacterial small subunit ribosomal RNA (bases 108-456)
Source: RNAcentral